Molecule: ribosomal RNA, 453 nt
Filed under: [Eubacterium] sulci
Lineage: Bacteria; Bacillati; Bacillota; Clostridia; Peptostreptococcales; Anaerovoracaceae
Description: bacterial SSU rRNA
Rfam family: Bacterial small subunit ribosomal RNA
Source: RNAcentral
GAUGAACGCUGGCGGCGUGCCUAACACAUGCAAGUCGAGCGAGAAAUAAAGGAAUGAAGCUUCGGUAGAUUUUCUUUAUGGAAAGCGGCGGACGGGUGAGUAACGCGUAGGCAACCUGCCCUGUACAGGGGGAUAGCCACCCGAAACGGUGAUUAAUACCCCAUAACGCAAGAGAUACACAUGUAUCACUUGUCAAAGAUUUAUCGGUAUAGGAUGGGCCUGCGUCUGAUUAGCUAGUUGGUAGGGUAACGGCUUACCAAGGCAACGAUCAGUAGCCGACCUGAGAGGGUGAUCGGCCACAUUGGAACUGAGACACGGUCCAAACUCCUACGGGAGGCAGCAGUGGGGAAUAUUGCACAAUGGGCGCAAGCCUGAUGCAGCAACGCCGCGUGAAGGAUGAAGGCCUUCGGGUUGUAAACUUCUGUCCUUGGGGAAGAAACAAAUGACAUUACC